ACUGUUUGAUGUUCAGUACUACUUGAAUGGGUAAUUAAUAAAAUCGGRNGGGUGGGGUGAUAAAUUAGUCGUUGGCUUGWAUAUCUGUUUUUCGGGUUUUGUUUUCUGUUUACUGUGUUAGUGAUGAGAUUAACACAGAUGCUAUAUCAUGUGUUAAUUACUUAUUUGCUGGGGUUAGGGUUACCCGUGUAUUAUGGAGUAUGUUAUUAUUCUGAUGGUAAUUAGGUUGAUUAGCGGUAUCUCCCGACUUGAGUUAACUGUAAAAUUGGGUUGAUAGUUUAAUUAGUAAUUAUAAUAGCGGUAAACUAUCUCAAACCCAACCCAACUGUUUAUUAAAAACAUUGCUGCUUAUUCUGUGUUAAGCAGUAUUACCUGCCCGGUGUGUUAUUAACGGCCGCAGUAUUAUGACUGUGCGAAGGUAGCAUAAUUAAUUGCCCUAUAAUUGGGGGCUUGUUUGAAUGGUUUAAUGUGGCUGGUUCUAAGUUUAUUGUUAUUAGUGAAUUUAAUGCGGGUGGUACAGAAUCCUCCUAAUUUAGUAAGACGGAAAGACCCCAGGAUCUUUUUUUUUGYCUGGGGCAGAUUGGCGUUAUUUAGGCUAUUUUUGACCCUCUGAGUAGAGAUUUAAGUUACCCUGGGGAUAACAGAGUAAUGGGUAGUUAGAGAUCUUAUCGAUCUACCCGAUUGCUACCUCGAUGUUGACUUGGGUUUCCCCAACGGCGCAGUAGUCGUUGGG
Molecule: ribosomal RNA, 733 nt
Filed under: Caryophyllaeus balticus
Lineage: Eukaryota; Metazoa; Platyhelminthes; Cestoda; Caryophyllidea; Caryophyllaeidae
Description: partial large subunit ribosomal RNA
Source: RNAcentral